RNAcentral lists this ribosomal RNA (894 nucleotides) under Nata vernicosa. RNAcentral's name for it is "partial 16S ribosomal RNA". The stretch from base 344 to 894 matches the Rfam family "Eukaryotic large subunit ribosomal RNA", at positions 1891 to 2988 of the family's 3401-position model. The record is from RNAcentral. Lineage: Eukaryota; Metazoa; Mollusca; Gastropoda; Stylommatophora; Rhytididae.
UUAUUUCGCCCCGAAAGAAAGGGAGCUAUAUUUUUUAGGGGGUUAGUUCUCCUUUCUCCCUGUUGCAUAAGGGGGGGGAUAAAACAAUAUAGUAGUGAAAGACUAACAUCUUUUCAGAUAUCUGGAUUAAAAAUAAAAGUAUUUAGUACAUUUAACCCAGUUUUAUAGUUUUAAGAUUAUAAAUAAAAAGGAUUAUAAAUAUUUGGUUUAUAUCUUGUAUGAAGAAGAAUACUCUCUCUCUCUCUCCAAUAUAAAAAUUUAUUUUUAGAACCAUCUUGUCCAUUAUUUUUAGUAUUUCCCAAAUAAAUAGGGUAAAUAUAUACUGUUUAAAUUAGUAGUACUUUCCCCUAACUCUUUUAAAGGAACUCGGCAAAUAUUUUGGUCAACUGUUUAACAAAAACAUAGCUUAUUGAUAUUUUAUAAUAAGUGAGCUCUGCCCAGUGUGCCCCUAAGGGUGCAUCAACGGCCGCAGUACUCUGACUGUGCUAAGGUAGCAUAAUAAAUUGGCUUUUAAUUGAAGUCUAGGAUAAAAGAGUUUAUGGCUAUAUGCUGUCUUUAUUAGAUUGAUAUAAACUUACUUAAUAGGUGAAAAUGCCUAUACCCUUUUUAUUAGACAAGAAGACCCUAAGAGUUUGAUUGUUUUUGUUGGGGCGACAAGGUAACAAAUAAAUAACUUACCCUGAACUUUAUUCUCAAUCUUCUUUACAUACACACCAUUUCAAAUAAAUAUAAAGAAUAAGCUACCUUAGGGAUAACAGCAUAAUAUUAUCUCUAUGUUUAUGACCUCGAUGUUGGAUUAGGGGAGCUGCAUAUUAGACGUAUGUUUGUUGGGUUCUGUUCGAACGGUUUUCCCCUACAUGAUCUGAGUUCAGACCGGCGUAAGCCAGGUCAGUU